CGGAGGGUGCGAGCGUUGUCCGGAAUCACUGGGCGUAAAGGGCGCGUAGGCGGCCCGGUAAGCGUGUGGUGAAAGCUCGGGGCUCAACCCCGAGUCGGCCAUGCGAACUGCCGGGCUCGAGCACUGUAGAGGCAGGUGGAAUUCCGGGUGUAGCGGUGGAAUGCGUAGAGAUCCGGAAGAACACCGGUGGCGAAGGCGGCCUGCUGGGCAGUGGCUGACGCUGAGGCGCGACAGCGUGGGGAGCAAACAGGAUUAGAUGCCCUGGUAGUCCACGCCGUAAACGAUGGGCACUGGGUGCUUGGGGGAGCGACCCCCUGAGUGCCGGCGCUAACGCAUUAAGUGCCCCGCCUGGGGAGUACGGCCGCAAGGCUG
This 372-nucleotide ribosomal RNA is filed under the name uncultured organism. RNAcentral describes it as "bacterial SSU rRNA". It matches the Rfam family "Bacterial small subunit ribosomal RNA", at positions 526 to 896 of the family's 1533-position model. The record is from RNAcentral.